GUUUGUUUCUUUCUUCAAGAAGAUAAGUAAAUCAUUUACAUUUUUCAAAUCAUUCAAAGAAUUCAAGCUUCCAAAAACUUCUAUAAAGGAUGAGCAAAACGAUGGAUUGAAAAAUUCAACCUCCAUUAAUGGAGGAUGAAUCCUCCAUUAAUGGAGAUGAAGGUUGUGUGGAGUUUAGUGAUUAUGAUGCUAUAGUGGUAAUGGAAAUUUGAUUGUGGGUCUGGAAGAAAAUGAAAGAAAAAUGUAUGAAUAGAAAAAGGAAAAAGAAAACGUUGGGGGUGGGGUGAGUUGAG
This 293-nucleotide long non-coding RNA is filed under the name Capsicum annuum. RNAcentral describes it as "long non-coding RNA (CANN_LNC011689)". Lineage: Eukaryota; Viridiplantae; Streptophyta; Magnoliopsida; Solanales; Solanaceae. The record is from RNAcentral.